AAAUGACAAAUUAAAUAAUGGCAUGGGAAGAAAGCCCAAAUAUAAAAUAUAUAGAGUGUCUGCACAGAAGAGAGAAAAAUAUAUACCAUUCAAUUGGUUAUGCAUAUGGAAAAAAACCACUUGAAUUGGAACCUUAUAUCUUAUACAUAAAAUUCAGUCUCAGGAGUAUUAAACAAUUAAAUUUAAAACAUACAAUUUAAAUCAGUUAGGAAAAAUACAGAAAAAAUGUUAUUAUGAUCUCAGGUAAUACAUUACUUUCUUUUUUGUUUUUUUUCUGAGACAGUCUCGCUCUGUCACCUAGGCUGGAGUACAAUGAUGCUAUCUCGGCUCACUGCAACCUCCGCCUCCAGGAUUCAAGCAAUUCUCCUGCCUCGGCCCCCUGAGUAAAUGGAAUUACAGGCAUCCACAACCACGCCUGGCUAAUUUUUUGUAUUUUUAGUAGAGACAGGGUUACACCAUGUUGGCCAGGCUGGUCUCAAACUCUUGACCUCAAGUGAUCACCCAACUCAGCCUCCUGAAGUGCUGGGAUUACAGGCGUAAGUCACCGUGCCUGGCCAAUAUAUUGCUUUCUUAAACAGAAUAGGGAAGGAUGAAUCAUGAAGAAAAAGAUUGAGAAAUUUGUCUACCAAAUUUAAAAUUAAUUAAAUAUAAACUUUCAAGUUAAAAAAUUUGUUCUCAUCAGUAUUCACCAUUAAACAGGAAAAAUACAAGCCAGAGGUUUGAAGAAGAUAUUAUACACAUGUUAAUAUACACAAUUAACUAGACUUUAUUAAAAACUCAUUUUGAUAACAAGGAAAAGAAUUCAGUAGCAAAUUGAGCCAAAUAACAACAAGUAAUUCAUAGAUGAGGAAAUCCAAAUAAGUAAGUAACUAAAGAAGAGGCUUAGCCUCACAAUGAAUCAAGGAAAUGGAAAUUAAAACCACAACUUUAUUUUCCACCAUCAAGUAGGCAGAAACUUUUUAAAGAUUAACUAUUAGGGCUUUGUAUAGAUGUAAAACAAUGAGAAUCUUUGUGCAUGUCAGAACCAGAGGAUUGGGGUGGGAAACAAAUGAGAUUUUUAUCCUACGUAUAAGCUAACAAGUUAGCCUGCCACAAUAUCAUGAAUAUUAGCAGAAGACUGGAGACUACUUGGUCAGAGAAAAUGACUCAUGACUCAGCAUAAAUCCCAAGCUUUAUUUUAGCAUUGAUCCUCCUUACCUCUGAAGUUCCACAGAAGUACUGCAGAUGUGCCAAGGAGGACGCUGCACAUGCCUUGAUUGUGCGUCACAUCUGAAGGACUCUGAGUUUAAGAAACCUUAGUCUUUAUAACUGAUAGUAACCAAAUGUGUCCAACCAUUGCCCAGAAAGGAGACAUCACAGGACAUCAAACAAACCUCCCCUCUGUUCCAGAAGAAGACACUACAUUCAAAAGACGUUUGCUAUGCUAAUGACUCGAAAAGACAGGUUGUAAUAAAAGGGCAACUGGUGCCUCUGGGCACAAGACACAAAGAAAUAUAAGCAAUCCAUGAAAAAUUGUCUUUCAAACAUGUGUCCUUGAUGAAAAUGCAAAUUGGUAUAAGUUUGGAGAGUAAUUUGCAUUAAAAGCCAUGUUACAAUGAGAACAGAUAAAUUCUUAUACUUGGAAACAAGUAUAUUCAUCGCAUAGAAAAUGGAAAAUGAUCUAUACCUCAAUCGUUUAAGAGGUGAUAAUGAAAUUGUAGACUCUUCAUAAACUGGAAUAUAAAAUAUAGCAUGAAAAAGGAACCUAUGCAACAUACAUCAACAUGGAAAAUUUUCACAAAAUAUUGAACUAAAAUUAAUUUUGAAGUAGAUAUGUUAUAAAAUUUAGUUUUAAACUAUGCAUUUUAAAGAGGAUGUAUAGCUAUGUACAUAUUAAAGAAUAAAGAAAUGAAGAGAAAUAAUAAACACUGAGUUGAAGAUACUGUUUAAAUAGGUUAGGAGAGUGCAAGAGAUGAUGAUGCAGUUGUGAGGGGUAAAGAAAGGACUUCAACUCUACCAGAUACCUACCCAGAAGAAAUCACCAACUUAUAAAGACAACUGCACACCCAUGUUUAUUGCAUCAUUAUUCCUAACAGCCAAGAUAUGGAAACAACCUAAAUGUCCAUGAAUGAAUGAAUGGAUAAAGAAACUGCAAAUUACACAAUUGAAUAUUACCCAGCUUUAAAAAAACAAGGUGAAAGGACACCUCAACCUAAAAAUUAAUUUUGUUAUAGAUUUCAAUCCUGAUAAAUUGGAAUUAAGCAGCUCAGUCAGCAUCUUUCUUCAUCAGAUGCAGGAGGCAAAAAGGGGGAGGGCCCCAGAGAAUCUCCCACCGGCCUACACACUGCAAGAAUGGGUUGGAGCCACGGGAAGUUUGAGCCAUUUGCAGCAGGGAGGAGCUGCGCCUCUUCAGUUCCUGUGCUGUGGCCUGUUAUUCAAUCUGUGAGGUGGGAGCGCUGGCAGGAAUCCUUCUCAUUUUGCUAAGAGUUUUUGUUGUUGUUGUUUUGUUUUUUUCUUUUCGUCCAAUAAAUUCCGUUCCUGUCACCUUUCAAUGUGUCCACAUGCCUAACUUUUCCUGGUUGUGACACAAGAACCCAGAUUUAGCUGAACUAAGGAACAGAAAUUCUGCAACACUAAUCUCCCUUUUAGAAUAUAUUUUAACAGAAAGGGGUAUGGGGUUGUUUCAUGUCAAGAAGCACAUUCUUUUAAUUUUAUUGUUAGGGCAGAAUUAGUCUAGUGUAACCUUUAUAGGUCAGAAUGUAAGAAUGACA
Molecule: long non-coding RNA, 2750 nt
Filed under: Homo sapiens (human)
Lineage: Eukaryota; Metazoa; Chordata; Mammalia; Primates; Hominidae
Description: HSALNT0210447
Source: RNAcentral